Molecule: ribosomal RNA, 253 nt
Filed under: uncultured bacterium
Lineage: Bacteria
Description: partial 16S ribosomal RNA
Rfam family: Bacterial small subunit ribosomal RNA
Source: RNAcentral
UACGUAGGGGGCUAGCGUUGUCCGGAUUUAUUGGGCGUAAAGAGCGUGUAGGCGGCCAGGUAGGUCUGGUGUGAAAACUCGAGGCUUAACCUCGAGAUGUCAUCGGAAACCAUCUGGCUAGAGUCCGGAAGAGGAGAGUGGAAUUCCUGGUGUAGCGGUGAAAUGCGCAGAUAUCAGGAAGAACACAAAUGGCGAAAGCAGCUCUCUGGGACGGUACUGACGCUGAGACGCGAAAGCGUGGGGAGCGAACAGG